RNAcentral lists this non-coding RNA (23 nucleotides) under Arabidopsis thaliana (thale cress). Lineage: Eukaryota; Viridiplantae; Streptophyta; Magnoliopsida; Brassicales; Brassicaceae. The record is from RNAcentral.
AGGUAGAAUUGAGCUACCAUACA